Long non-coding RNA from Monodelphis domestica (gray short-tailed opossum), 902 nucleotides. RefSeq lists it as uncharacterized. Lineage: Eukaryota; Metazoa; Chordata; Mammalia; Didelphimorphia; Didelphidae. The record is from RefSeq and is a predicted model, not a curated record.
UCUCCAUCCCUCCAUAACAGAUGGUCCGUUGCCAGUCGAAUCCUGAGAGAGCAGACAAAACAUUCACACAUUCUUCCUUUCACAGCACCGAUAGUUGUUCUUUUUUUUUUUAAGCUAUCAGAAUAAGGGGCAGUCAAAAGAGAAUGGAAACUUAACUUUCCUUUCAAAACUUCACCACUACAAAAGAGUUCUGUGGGCUGGUCCACAGAGACUUGGGAAAUUUUCACCAAACAACGGCAUAACGUCAAGGAAUGGGGCAUCAUUUGCUGCCUGGGCCAAGCUGGAGGUAACCAGAGUGUUCAGAAAUAGAGCAGAGAUAAAACUUCAUAAAUUCUAAUGACAAUCCAGGAAGUGCCUUAAGGAGAACCCGCUGUGACAGCUGUAAAGGUCAUACAACCACAGUUUGGCAGAGAUUUCCAAAGACUUCGAAGACUUCCAAAAUAGAUACAUGACUGAGUUCAGAUUUGUGCCAUCUGUAAUUCAAAAUUAAAAAAAAUGAGUGAUGGAUUUGGAAUUGGAAAACGUGGUUUCUUACCUUACCCUUGCUAUAUACUAUCAACAUCAUUUGGAGAUGGAUUCCUGUUCUUCACUAUCCCGAGAAGAAAAUCAAGGCCAGCUCCCUGGAAAUGAACAGUCUUCCCUUUGUGGGCCUCCACAAGGUUUAUAUGAAAUUUUACACAAUACAGAAAUAAUAGAGCAGUGUUUAGUGUUCCCUUCCUACAGCCGGAUUCUUCACAUUAGGAAUCAGACAGCAGGUUCCACCUUUCAGCAGAGAUGCCAAGGUUUUAUCUUGCAUACAAGAAUUCAGAACAGAAAGAGCUCCUAUUGAAAUACUUUUUUUUUCUUUUUGAAAAUACACCAUAAGCUAAAUUUACUGAAAUAAACAAUCUCUGCAAUUCAAA